GUAAUUGAUCAUUAUAGUAUAGCUUCUCUUUCUUCUCAGAUUACGUAUUCACUCCCGGCCCAAAGGCAACGUCCCGGGUAGCGGGUAGUUGUGUCCCGCGGCACCUGCCGGUAAUCGUCUCAAUCAGUGGGUCCCGAGUACCUGCAUGCUCGUUGUAGUCGUCUCAACGAUGACACCACAGCGCGCUGACGGGUAGCAGUUUAUGAUGGAUACUCAGGAUAUACCCGGGUAUCCCGUGUAGGGUGGGUCAGGUACCCCGUAUACUGUAUACUCACGAUUACCAGAAAUCCUGUAUUCUGUCCGUCUCUAGUGUGUGUGUGUGUGUGUGUGUGUGUGUUGCCUUGUUGGCAGGGCUGUGUACAUGAUGAUACUCACUCCAUGACGUGUAUUUCCGCCAAUAAUCAACAUUGAGUUUGUGGCCAAUCACAGGUCAAGACAGUAGCACGUCACCUGUGGUUAGGCGGGAGCCUCGCUUUCUUUUAGAUAGAACCUGAGGGCUGUUGGCUGAGGAGUGAGAAGCUCAGUGUGUGUGUAGCAGUGACUGUGAGCGUUUAAUUAUUAGUGUUGAUACUAUCACUGUACUGUUACUGCGAGACGAUGCAUAACGAAGGACAAUCACUUUGUGUUUGCACAUACGGCUCCCCGCAGUCUGCAGAGUGUGACAGGCCUGGAAUAUCUGUUACGUAUAUACGACGUCAUCCCGGGACCGACGCCAGCCAGGUCUGGGCGAACCGAGGUGGCUUGAGACAUGGCGGCUUUGGAAUGGCGGGAGGUUAGGUUUGAGAAAUAUUGCGGCGGGAACAUGGGCCACCUUUUCGCGGAGGUGCUGGUGACACUGGCCAGGCCGGGGCUCAGAGUUAUAUCUCUAAGCCUUUGGCCAGGCAGGGGCGGCACAGGCAUCCUGGCGACCUGCACCACCGCCACCAUGCCCAGAGUUAGCAACACUAGGAAGACACAGCGGGAUCAGCGGCAGUGCAUGGAGCAAAGUCGUUGUGUUUAGAAGUGUGUGUGAAACAAGUCGGUGAUUACUGGCCCCGGGCUCUGUUUGUUGUGUUUCCGGACGCAGCGUGAUCUCGUGCUGGCUCGUGGAGGACUCACUGAACAGAUAUUAACGUUGUGCUUGCGAGGAACAUUACCACGAGGAUAUUUAUUGUUGUGGUGGAGCUGCGGACAAACAAGCCAGGUAGGGGCCGAGUGAGAUGGAAGGGGAAGGCGGAUGAAGUACCAACUUUAGAGAAAACGAAAGGAUGGCGGUGGAGAGGGCGAGUCUGGCUUGAGGAGAUAAUGUUACUCUCAUCACCACUGCCACUAGCGCCACCACUACCAUCUCCGCCAUCCGCCGCCGUCACAUUUUCCUCCGCCAUCAUCUCGCAUGAAGGAAAUAAGAAAUAAGGUGUGGUUGCCUUCUCUGCUUACGUGUAUCGUCUGAGGUGUCUGUACGCAGGUCUUAUACAUCCACCUCCUCUUCCAGCAUAACUUUGUACCGCCUUUGCUUGUAAGAGGACCAGAACAAGGGUGUGAAGGCGACCAAAAUUUAUGUUUAACUUCAAAAUAUUAAUAGGUUAGAAUGUUACUCGCCAGCACAAAAUCUCAGACUUUUUAACCCCUUCUGAACUAGGACACAUUUUUACCUUUAGAUUUGUGUACAAUUAGACCAUUUUAUUGACAUUAGCAAGGGUCUAUGGAGGUCACAAAAAAUUAAUGGCCGGAGUCUUCAGUAUUUUAAUCCCCCAAAAACUUUAUGGAGCUGUAAAAAAUCACCAAAUAGUAACCAGAAUGAAUAUGGAAACAUGUAAUGGUACUGAAGGGGUUAAAAUCUUGUCACAGCAUUGGUCAGUAUUCAAAAACGUUGUUUCCUCUAACCAAUACUAUUCGUAAAGGCUACAGGGAUGAUUAGCUGGCUGUAAUUAAGAGUGUAAGAAUUUUUCCUGUUGUUAAAAAUGUAGAAAUAUUUUUAAUCCUUUAGUAGAUCCGUAAAAAACUCCAGCCUGUGUACUCCUUCGAUCGCCUUUUUAAGUGUUUCAAAAUAUUGUUUAUCAUCUUAACAUUUCCUAGGGACGUGAAAUACAGAGAUAACUGUUUAAGGUCCACCAGUCUCAUGCCGGCCACGUGGGAAAGGCAGGACGACGCGGCUAGUGGUGACGUAAGGCAGCGGAAGGCAGCGGUUAGAGUUGAGAAAGUGCGUCUCGGUUAAACGUUAAGAUAAAUGCAGUCGGUGAAAGAAUGAAUGAAUCACGAAAAUUAGAGGUUGAUGAGCGUCUUGAGUCCGACUGGCUGUGUCCUUCCUCCCUUCCUUCUUUCCUUCCUUCCAGGCACCACAAUUCAAGGAUCUUCAUUGCUACAGGAUACUUCGUUCGUGUAAAUUAGAAAAAAGUCCGGAAAUUAUUGAAAGUGAGCAUAAAUAUUUUCUCCUCGGUGUAUUAUCGUUUGUUAGGAAAUGGAGUCGUCGCUUGGACACCUCGCAGGCCACAGGCACCACCUGCUCUGGGCGCAGCUGUGAGGAAUGUAAGUCCUUUGAAAUUCCCUUACCUAAUUAAUGUCUCUUUUAGAGGAAGGGAAAGUUUAGGUAGUUAUUGCACUGAGGCAACACCAGCAGAAAGCAAGAAAAAGCUAAGCCUGAGGUGUGUUCCGACAAGGCCCUGAACAUGAGGAGUUGUAGAGAGCUUGAGCAAGAGGCCCUCCAAAUGGCGGCUAUAAAACACCUGGGCCUCGCGUGUAGUCACUGUGGGCCUCGGGGUACAGAGCCAUGGGUGAGGAGGUGCAGCCGCUAUGAUAAGGGAGGCGGCCGCUGCAGCUUUCGUAUCGUGUCUAUGCAGAUAUUCUCACAUUGAACGUAUCGAUGUGUAUCUUCGUCACCCGGUAUCUUAUAAGUAGACAUUUACAAAUACUGGUGUGAAGUAAAGUGACAAGUUUUUUUCUGAUUGGUUAUGUUAAAACACUGUGCUUCCCACGUCGCAUGGUGAACAUUUGCUGCCUUCAUGUUCGUUGACUUAUAGGGUAUAAGAAUAGAGACUUGAAAAUUGGAAAAUUUCAUUCCAAUGAAAUGCCAAACAGAGGAGGUAUUAUUUCAGUAUUAUACUAUAAUUCUUGUGUACGCAACAUUCCAGACGACGGGCAAGACAGGUUGUGUCAGAAAAAAAAGUUGCUUGUUUUAUUUAAGCAAGGAUCAUCGCUGACAGAGAAACAAUUGGUGCAGUCAUGUAUUUGUGAACAUUUGGGCUUCCUUACCAACACCUCGCCUUGAAAAAUUACAGUCCAAUGAAUGCUUGGGACCAAAGGGCGGAGGUAUGUGCAGGACCAGAGGGCGGCGUUUCUCAUACGCAAAGUAAGUCUCCAUUUACCAGUCUGACUUGACCAAGAUAUGCGCCAUGAUGAAGGCAUUAUCAUCCUGACUUGCAAUGAAGACGUCAAAGAAAAAGAAAAAAAAAAAUGUAGAAAAAAACUCGCUUUCAUGUGUUGAGAACAAAGCAUAAAGUGAACACUACAAACGGCAACUUCAGAAGUUGGGGGAAUGCCUUUGCAUGCUGUACACUGCUUGGAGGCAACGCCCUCAGUAACACCGCCACCCAAUUGACUUCAUAGCGUGUUUCAUGGCGCCACUAAUAAAUAUUCAAAUAA
This 3618-nucleotide long non-coding RNA is filed under the name Portunus trituberculatus (swimming crab). RNAcentral describes it as "uncharacterized LOC123517954, transcript variant X6". The record is from RNAcentral. Lineage: Eukaryota; Metazoa; Arthropoda; Malacostraca; Decapoda; Portunidae.